AAUGAACGCUGGCGGCGUGCCUAACACAUGCAAGUCGUACGAGAAAUCCCGAGCUUGCUUGGGAGAGUAAAGUGGCGCACGGGUGAGUAACGCGUGGGCAACCUGCCCUUGAAUCGGGGAUAACUCCGCGAAAGCGGUGCUAAUACCGGAUAAGACCACUACCGCUUCGGCGGCAGAGGUAAAAGCUGACCUCUCCAUGGAAGUUAGCGUUUGAGGACGGGCCCGCGUCCUAUCAGCUUGUUGGUAGGGUAACGGCCUACCAAGGCAACGACGGGUAGCUGGUCUGAGAGGAUGAUCAGCCACACUGGAACUGGAACACGGUCCAGACUCCUACGGGAGGCAGCAGUGAGGUAAUUUUGCGCAAGUCGGGGGAAACCCUGACGCAGCAACGCCGCGUGGGUGAAGAAGGCUUUCGGGUCGUAAAGCCCUGUCAGGUGGGAAGAACCGUUUCGAUACUAAUAAUGUCGAAGCCUGACGGUACCACCAGAGGAAGCACCGGCCAACUCCGUG
RNAcentral lists this ribosomal RNA (510 nucleotides) under uncultured bacterium. RNAcentral's name for it is "bacterial SSU rRNA". It matches the Rfam family "Bacterial small subunit ribosomal RNA", at positions 29 to 507 of the family's 1533-position model. The record is from RNAcentral.